GACGAACGCUGGCGGCAUGCCUAAUAUAUGCAAGUCGAGCGAACAGAUGAAGUGCUUGCACUUCUGACGUUAGCGGCGAACGGGUGAGUAACACGUAAGGAAUCUACCUAUAAGCGGGGGAUAACAUUCGGAAACGGGUGCUAAUACCGCAUAAUAUCUUCUUCCGCAUGGAAGAAGAUUGAAAGACGGCUCUGCUGUCACUUAUAGAUGACCUUGCGGUGUAUUAGUUAGUUGGUGGGGUAAUGGCCUACCAAGACGAUGAUGCAUAGCCGACCUGAGAGGGGGAUCGGCCACAUUAGGACUGAGACACGGCCCAAACUCCUACGGGAGGCAGCAGUAGGGAAUCUUCCGCAAUGGGCGAAAGCCUGACGGAGCAAUGCCGCGUGAGUGAAGAAGGCCUUCGGGUCGUAAAACUCUGUUAUAAGAGAAGAACAAAUUGUAGAGUAACUGCUACAGUCUUGACGGUAUCUUAUCAGAAAGCCACGGCUAACUACGUGCCAGCCGCCGCCGUAA
RNAcentral lists this ribosomal RNA (513 nucleotides) under uncultured bacterium. RNAcentral's name for it is "partial 16S ribosomal RNA". It matches the Rfam family "Bacterial small subunit ribosomal RNA", at positions 28 to 523 of the family's 1533-position model. The record is from RNAcentral.